Molecule: transfer RNA, 71 nt
Filed under: Camelus dromedarius (Arabian camel)
Lineage: Eukaryota; Metazoa; Chordata; Mammalia; Artiodactyla; Camelidae
Also listed under: 2 other names
Rfam family: tRNA
About the family: Transfer RNA (tRNA) molecules are approximately 80 nucleotides in length. Their secondary structure includes four short double-helical elements and three loops (D, anti-codon, and T loops).
Source: Rfam by way of RNAcentral
GAGGGUAUGGCUCAGCGGUAGAGCGCCUGCCUAGCGUGCAGGAGGUUCGGGUUCAAUCCCCAGUACCUCCA